AUGUCAUCAAUAAACUUUGUUAAUUUCAAUAUUUGCAUCGGCAUACAACAACACCACUUCAAGUUGAUGUUUUUUAUUAUUUCAACAUCAGUUAAUUGUGUUUUGGGACUAUAUGUUUACUACUACAUCCAUCAAAAUUGUUGGCUUAGUCUUUGUGUUGUGUGGAACAUUUUUCGAGAUAUUUUUAUUGUUUAG
Non-coding RNA from Vicia faba (fava bean), 195 nucleotides. The record is from the annotation of a GenBank genome assembly. Lineage: Eukaryota; Viridiplantae; Streptophyta; Magnoliopsida; Fabales; Fabaceae.